This is a long non-coding RNA of Ictalurus punctatus (channel catfish), 900 nucleotides long. RefSeq lists it as uncharacterized. Lineage: Eukaryota; Metazoa; Chordata; Actinopteri; Siluriformes; Ictaluridae. The transcript has 3 exons. The record is from RefSeq and is a predicted model, not a curated record.
CAUUAAAACCAUUUCCUAAUCACAGUGCUCUGAUAAAUGAUACAUACAUAGGAAACUUUCUUUUUUAUCAGAUUUUACACAUGCACUGCGCAUCCACACAACGUCAGGUAUUUCCCCCGACAUGAUUAUAAAUAAGAAACAUACGUACAAAGAUAGUGAAAGCACAACUGACAAGGUAUCAACACACACCAAAGACAACUCUGCAACAUGGUGCACGUAGCAGGAUCCACUCUCUGGAUGCAUAUCUUGAUCCUUCUUGGCUGCAGCUUAAUGAGGCAAACUCAUUCUCACCCAAAUACACUCAUUGUUCUUAAAGAAGUAUCAUCAAAGCUCAGUGAAGCCUAUAAACAACAAAUCAACCCCAAGUGUCCACCAAUGAACCUCACUGGGAUAUCAAGCAAUAUCACCGACUCUGCUUGUGCCUUCAGCAAAUAUCUCGAAUGUCUCCUUAAGAUGGAUUAUGUCAGUCAAGACAUCAUGAAGGAAACCAACGAACUGAAACGUCAAUUCAAUUCCUGUUUCAAGACAUAUGGCUGUAGUAAUAAUACUUCAAUGUUAGAUAAAAGAAUAAAUGAUGGAAAUUUUUAUAAUAAAAAAUGUCUGGGUUUAGAUGUCCUUAGGAAUUUAGCAUCAUGGUUGAAAGUGAAUAAACAACACAAAUGUGUUGGAAAACACUGAAGCUAAAAUUCCUCAACGUUUUGUGCUAAAUUAUUUAGGUAAAUUAUUUAAUUUAUUAUUUAUUAUUGAUUUAUUCUAAACUGGAAUAUCCUUGUUUGAAUGCAAUAUGCCUAAUGCAAAGACAAAAUAAAUGCAACAAAUUCUGCCUCCUCCAUUGUUUUUUUUGCCUCUUAUGUAAACAAAAAUGUCAAAUUCUCUCUUAUGUACAUGGUAAUGUUUGCA